Molecule: long non-coding RNA, 221 nt
Organism: Dermacentor albipictus
Lineage: Eukaryota; Metazoa; Arthropoda; Arachnida; Ixodida; Ixodidae
Source: RefSeq, a predicted model, not a curated record
GCUUACUACCCUUCUGGGACGUCGACGUCUGUCGUUCAAGGCCCUUCACAGACGUCCGCUUCGGCUGGCACUUCUUCGUUUCAAGCGCAAGACCCGUCGCAAACGUCUGCUUCUACCGGCACAGGCUACGACCCUCCUCAGAUGUACGCCUCCAGCGAGCUCGACCCAACGGGGAUGUCUCUUUCUUCGUCCUACGACCCUUCCUUCAUGCACGCCUCUGG